Molecule: ribosomal RNA, 321 nt
Filed under: uncultured bacterium
Lineage: Bacteria
Description: bacterial SSU rRNA
Rfam family: Bacterial small subunit ribosomal RNA
Source: RNAcentral
ACGAACGCUGGCGGCGCGCCUAAUACAUGCAAGUCGAACGAGAAGCUGUAGCAAUACAGUUGUACAGUGGCGAACGGGUGAGGAAUACAUGGGUGACCUACCCUCGAGUGGGGAAUAACCAGCCGAAAGGUUGGCUAAUACCGCGUACGCUUCCCAGUCUACGGGUUGGGAAGGAAAGCGAUGCCGNGGGUAUCGCGCUCAAGGUUGGGCUCAUGUCCUAUCAGCUUGUUGGGGGGUAACGGCUCACCAAGGCAACGACGGGUAGCUGGUCUGAGAGGACGAUCAGCCACACUGGCACUGCGACACGGGCCAGACUCCUAC